Long non-coding RNA from Carassius gibelio (silver crucian carp), 2169 nucleotides. RefSeq lists it as uncharacterized. NCBI's taxonomy places the organism in Eukaryota, Metazoa, Chordata, Actinopteri, Cypriniformes, Cyprinidae. The record is from RefSeq and is a predicted model, not a curated record. The transcript has 3 exons.
ACUGACCUUAUUUCAACCAUAUUUCAACGUUGAAAGUUGGUCAUGUGCUGGAUGUUUUUCAACCAUUCAGCUUUAAACGUUGAAUCAACGUUGUUUCAACGUUGAAACCACAACUGACCUUAUUUCAACCAUAUUUCAACAUUGAAAGUUGGUCAUGUGCUGGAUGUUUUUCAACCAUUCAGCUUUAAACGUUGAAUCAACGUUGUUUCAACGUUGAAACCACAACUGACCUUAUUUCAACCAUAUUUCAACGUUGAAGGUCGGUCAUGUGCCGGCUGGGUAGCGAGUCAGUCAGUCAGUCAAUAAAACGAAAAAUGACCGUUAAAUUUUAAAUUCUGCGAUCGCGCGACUCUCUGUGGAAGACAGGUGAAAGCGGGUGCUGGAGAACCGCGUGCAGAUCAGAAAGCUAUUGAAUGAGCUUUUUUGUUAUUUGACUCAAUCAGACUUUGUUGAUACUUUAUUCACUUUGAAUCAACAACUCUCAACUAAAUGCUCACUCGUGUCUCUGCUAAUCACAUUCUGGUUUUGUUCUCGUGAUAUCACUAUACUGCAAAUUUCAAGGUAGGCAUAUACAGUAUGCCCAGCAAGCAAUAGCCGUCAUUUCAACGUCUGGGUUAAAUAUAGACCAGAUAUAGUCCGGCUAUGUGUAACCCACUUUUAGCCCAAAUAACAUUUAAUCUGGAUAAAUGUAUUUUUUUUGCAAAAUAACUUGUGAGAUGUAUGAUAUUCCAUCAUGUACGCAGAGUCUAACGUGAUUACAAGUUGUUUGGUUUACUUUAUUUUACAUGUUAUAUGUGUAGGCUGUGCGUAGCCACGAUUUAGCUCGUAUUCAGACCCGGCUAUUGUAGCCCACUUUUUGUCAAAACUGAUUAAUUGUAUUUUUUUGCCAGGCAGUGCAUGAAAUGGUUAAUAUUCAAUCAUGUUCGCAUUGGUAUGAUAUCAAGGCUCAAUACGUCAUUUCACGGCAUGGUAGAUCACGAUUUAGCUCCGAAUUGGACGGGCUAUAUGCGGUCUGCUUUAGCCCACCUGGCGAAAUUAUUGCAAUCUGGGCUCAGAUAUAGACCAGCGACCUAGAAUAUUAGUCUUUGAAAUGUUUUCGCUUACACAGCUUAAUAUAUAUUUUCUGUCAAACAUUCAUACACAAUCUACGAUAAAAAUAUCUAAUCAAAUGCAAUUGCAUUUCCCAACCGCUAGAUGGCACAAUUGAAACACUACUGAGACAUGUCUACUGGAACUAAUGCCAUUGCGUGACUAGAUCACUUAAGCCAAAUCUCGCGAUAAACAUUUCCGCCAUUUUAUUUUACACGAGGCAGCUGUCGGAGUGCAACGGGUGAGCAACAGUCUGAGUGAAAACCUUCACAUUUCUACUUCGAUCUUAAGAAAGCCAUACAGGUUUGGAACCAAGUGAAAACGCAGUGAUGACCAGCUUUCCAUCAGCUACGGAAUGUGAAAUAAAAAAUGCUAUUUCUAAUCAUUUCAAACAAGCACCAGGGAGGGCAGGGGGUGGGGGUUAUGGAUCUAAAGUAAACAGUUAAUUCUUAAAAAUUAAUUGUUUUACAUAUUUUUCCAAUGUUUUAUUUGUUCAUUUUUAUGUUUGAAUGUUGUCCAAGUUGUUGUUGUCUAUAUAAUUGUUCAAAAUAAAUCCCUUUAUAUUCAAUUAGUUUGGAUGGAUUUUAAUUUAUGAGAACCUGUUAUAUUUGAGUGAAAAGAAUCCUUAUGCCUCUUUUUGUUGUCUAUUACAUGUAUAUGUAGUGUAAUGGAUGACUAGUCUAUUCUUGGGCUAUGGUUAGACGUCUAUUAGAUUUUCACUGACAGCCCAAAAUCAGCCUUGUUUUAGCCUAGACCCAUAUUGCCUGUCUAUUAGACGUAUGUAGUUGUUUAGCGGUCUAAUUGAUGACUAGUCUAUUCUUGGGCUAUGUUUAGACGUCUAUUGGACGUAUAAAUAUAGUCGUUCAAUAGCUGUCUGAUUGUCUAUUCUUGGGCUAUGGUUAGACAUCUAUUAGACGUAUAUAUGUAGUCAUUUAAUAGCUGUCUAUUCUUGGGGUAUGUUUAGACGUCUAUUAGAUUUUCACUGACAGCCCAAAAUUAGCCUCGAUUUAGCCUAGACGUCUCGGCUGUGUUUAGACGGCUAUUAGACGUCUAUUAGACGCAAAAUUGCUUGCUGGGUGG